Molecule: ribosomal RNA, 253 nt
Filed under: uncultured bacterium
Lineage: Bacteria
Description: partial 16S ribosomal RNA
Rfam family: Bacterial small subunit ribosomal RNA
Source: RNAcentral
UACGUAGGGGGCAAGCGUUGUCCGGAUUUAUUGGGCGUAAAGAGCGUGUAGGCGGCCAGGUAGGUCUGCUGUGAAAACUCGAGGCUCAACCUCGAGACGUCGGCGGAAACCAUCUGGCUAGAGUCCGGAAGAGGAGAGUGGAAUUCCUGGUGUAGCGGUGAAAUGCGCAGAUAUCAGGAAGAACACCAAUUGCGAAGGCAGCUCGCUGGGACGUAACUGACGCUGAGACGCGAAAGCGUGGGGAGCAAACAGG